RNAcentral lists this transfer RNA (71 nucleotides) under Loxodonta africana (African savanna elephant). It matches the Rfam family "tRNA". Rfam says of the family: Transfer RNA (tRNA) molecules are approximately 80 nucleotides in length. Their secondary structure includes four short double-helical elements and three loops (D, anti-codon, and T loops). The record is from Rfam by way of RNAcentral. Lineage: Eukaryota; Metazoa; Chordata; Mammalia; Proboscidea; Elephantidae.
ACAUUAGUGGUUCAGUGGUAGAAUUCUCACCUUCCAUGUGAGACACCCAGGUUUGAUUCCUGGCCAGUGCA